This 1085-nucleotide ribosomal RNA is filed under the name Bifidobacterium breve. RNAcentral's name for it is "bacterial SSU rRNA". It matches the Rfam family "Bacterial small subunit ribosomal RNA", at positions 30 to 1116 of the family's 1533-position model. Lineage: Bacteria; Bacillati; Actinomycetota; Actinomycetes; Bifidobacteriales; Bifidobacteriaceae. The record is from RNAcentral.
GAAAGGAAGGGCGGGGUGCUUACACAUGCAAGUCGAACGGGAUCCAUCGGGCUUUGCUUGGUGGUGAGAGUGGCGAACGGGUGAGUAAUGCGUGACCGACCUGCCCCAUGCACCGGAAUAGCUCCUGGAAACGGGUGGUAAUGCCGGAUGCUCCAUCACACCGCAUGGUGUGUUGGGAAAGCCUUUGCGGCAUGGGAUGGGGUCGCGUCCUAUCAGCUUGAUGGCGGGGUAACGGCCCACCAUGGCUUCGACGGGUAGCCGGCCUGAGAGGGCGACCGGCCACAUUGGGACUGAGAUACGGCCCAGACUCCUACGGGAGGCAGCAGUGGGGAAUAUUGCACAAUGGGCGCAAGCCUGAUGCAGCGACGCCGCGUGAGGGAUGGAGGCCUUCGGGUUGUAAACCUCUUUUGUUAGGGAGCAAGGCACUUUGUGUUGAGUGUACCUUUCGAAUAAGCACCGGCUAACUACGUGCCAGCAGCCGCGGUAAUACGUAGGGUGCAAGCGUUAUCCGGAAUUAUUGGGCGUAAAGGGCUCGUAGGCGGUUCGUCGCGUCCGGUGUGAAAGUCCAUCGCUUAACGGUGGAUCCGCGCCGGGUACGGGCGGGCUUGAGUGCGGUAGGGGAGACUGGAAUUCCCGGUGUAACGGUGGAAUGUGUAGAUAUCGGGAAGAACACCAAUGGCGAAGGCAGGUCUCUGGGCCGUUACUGACGCUGAGGAGCGAAAGCGUGGGGAGCGAACAGGAUUAGAUACCCUGGUAGUCCACGCCGUAAACGGUGGAUGCUGGAUGUGGGGCCCGUUCCACGGGUUCCGUGUCGGAGCUAACGCGUUAAGCAUCCCGCCUGGGGGAGUACGGCCGCAAGGCUAAAACUCAAAGAAAUUGACGGGGGCCCGCACAAGCGGCGGAGCAUGCGGAUUAAUUCGAUGCAACGCGAAGAACCUUACCUGGGCUUGACAUGUUCCCGACGAUCCCAGAGAUGGGGUUUCCCUUCGGGGCGGGUUCACAGGUGGUUGCAUGGUCGUCGUCAGCUCGUGUCGUGAGAUGUUGGGUUAAGUCCCGGCAACGAGCGCAAACCCUCGCCCCGUGUU